This 280-nucleotide ribosomal RNA is filed under the name uncultured Pirellula sp. RNAcentral's name for it is "partial 16S ribosomal RNA". It matches the Rfam family "Bacterial small subunit ribosomal RNA", at positions 1054 to 1330 of the family's 1533-position model. Lineage: Bacteria; Pseudomonadati; Planctomycetota; Planctomycetia; Pirellulales; Pirellulaceae. The record is from RNAcentral.
GUUCAGCUCGUGUCGUGAGAUGUCGGGUUAAGUCCCAUAACGAGCGAAACCCUUGUCUCCAGUUGCCAGCGGGUCAUGCCGGGGACUCUGGAGAGACUGCCGGUGUUAAACCGGAGGAAGGUGGGGAUGACGUCCAAGUCCUCAUGGCCUUUAUGCCUAGGGCUGCACACGUGCUACAAUGGCAUGUACAAAGGGACGCCAACCCGCGAGGGGGAGCAAAUCCCAAAAAACAUGCCCCAGUUCAGAUCGAAGGCUGCAACUCGCCUUCGUGAAGUGGAAU